RNAcentral lists this ribosomal RNA (377 nucleotides) under uncultured bacterium. RNAcentral's name for it is "bacterial SSU rRNA". It matches the Rfam family "Bacterial small subunit ribosomal RNA", at positions 521 to 896 of the family's 1533-position model. The record is from RNAcentral.
UAAUACGUAAGUGGCGAGCGUUAUCCGGAAUUACUGGGCGUAAAGCGUGCGUAGGCGGUUUAGUGUGUGGGAAUUGAAAGCCCGGGGCUCAACUCCGGAUCCGGUUCCCAAACUGCUAGACUCGAGCGUAUCAGAGGACAGUGGAAUUCCCGGUGUAGCGGUAAUAUGCGUAGAUAUCGGGAGGAACACCAGUGGCGAAGGCGACUGUCUGGGGUAUUGCUGACGCUGAGGCACGAAAGCCAGGGGAGCGAACGGGAUUAGAUACCCCGGUAGUCCUGGCCUUAAACGAUGAUCACUAGGUGUAGGAGGCUUCGACCCCUUCUGCGCCGCCGCUAACGCAUUAAGUGAUCCGCCUGGGGAGUACGGCCGCAAGGUUA